AUUUGAAAGGCCUAAAAUACACAAGAAAUGUGUUCAUUCAAGAAAAAGCAGGUGGAGAAAGAAGAUAGCUACUGCAUGCCUGUUGGUGAGGAAAGCAUGUUUGUUCAGAAUAUAUUGGAGACUCAGUUCAGGAAGAAGUCAUCCUUAGGAAAAUAUUACGCCUGUAAUAUUGCCAAGGUAAGCUGUCGGCCUAGGCAGUAAGUAUGGCCAGAGCGACAAGAGGAAAAACUCUCCAGUCCCAGUAGACAGUAUUUAACUGCCAGCUAAUAAUACAUUGGGAAGGAGUUAAAAGCCCUGGCUGGAGGCAUGGCUUGAUGCCUCAAGUCACAACACUCUUGAAAUGAGAAGAAAGGGAGACAGGACCGGCUGGGCAGAUAUUGCAGCCUGAGACUUCAAGGAGGGAAAGGAAGAUCUGUGAAGGAACAAGAAAUAGAGAAAGAAUUAAUUACUACUCUCACAAGAAGAUCUGAUGUGAAAUAGGUUAUCUCCAAAUCUUAAUGCUUUUUAUCAUAGAUCAUACACAUAUGUACUUUACACCACUCUUCAAGAAAAGAGAUGUCUUUGGUGCAAUAGAUACAUAUAUGCUAAUCUCAAUCUUUCUUCCUCUGUUUUCAGACCCUGUGAAGUUGUCUUGCAUUGAAUUGGGCCAUUAGAUCAUUUUUGGCUAGUAUGCUAUUGGUUACAAUGGCCUUAAUACUUAUUAUAAUAAUACUCAAGUUUUGUGGCAAUCUAAGAAGGAAUGUUAUUUCUUUAUAUGGAUAUUUAUGUCCUGCUCUUUAUUCCAGGAUCUUAAGGCAAUAAUGUAACACAUAAAAUUAGACAAUUUGAAAUAAAAUAAUUUAUAUC
Molecule: long non-coding RNA, 846 nt
Organism: Anolis carolinensis (green anole)
Lineage: Eukaryota; Metazoa; Chordata; Lepidosauria; Squamata; Anolidae
Exons: 3
Source: RefSeq, a predicted model, not a curated record